CGGAUGUGUAAGUCAGUGGUGAAAUCUCACAGCUUAACUGUGAAACUGCCAUUGAUACUGCAUGUCUUGAGUGUUGUUGAAGUAGCUGGAAUAAGUAGUGUAGCGGUGAAAUGCAUAGAUAUUACUUAGAACACCAAUUGCGAAGGCAGGUUACUAAGCAACAACUGACGCUGAUGGACGAAAGCGUGGGGAGCGAACAGGAUUAGAUACCCUGGUAGUCCACGCCGUAAACGAUGCUAACUCGUUUUUGGAUUUUCGGAUUCAGAGACUAAGCGAAAGUGAUAAGUUAGCCACCUGGGGAGUACGUUCGCAAGAAUGAAACUCAAAGGAAUUGACGGGGGCCCGCACAAGCGGUGGAUUAUGUGGUUUAAUUCGAUGAUACGCGAGGAACCUUACCAAGGCUUAAAUGGGAAAUGACAGGUUUAGAAAUAGACUUUUCUUCGGACAUUUUUCAAGGUGCUGCAUGGUUGUCGUCAGCUCGUGCCGUGAGGUGUUAGGUUAAGUCCUGCAACGAGCGCAACCCCUGUCACUAGUUGCCAUCAUUAAGUUGGGGACUCUAGUGAGACUGCCUACGCAAGUAGAGAGGAAGGUGGGGAUGACGUCAAAUCAUCACGGCCCUUACGCCUUGGGCCACACACGUAAUACAAUGGCCAGUACAGAGGGCAGCUACACAGCGAUGUGAUGCAAAUCUCGAA
RNAcentral lists this ribosomal RNA (695 nucleotides) under Chryseobacterium sp. XYL_221. RNAcentral's name for it is "bacterial SSU rRNA". It matches the Rfam family "Bacterial small subunit ribosomal RNA", at positions 576 to 1278 of the family's 1533-position model. Lineage: Bacteria; Pseudomonadati; Bacteroidota; Flavobacteriia; Flavobacteriales; Weeksellaceae. The record is from RNAcentral.